UCACUUGUUCAUCCUCGGAGCAGGUACUGAUGAGCGAGGCUGUGCUCUAACCCUCCUCCUCCUCCUGGAGAACAAGCCCGUGCCCUUUCUCUCCUAGUCUCUCCCAGACGCAGCUGGGUCUGAGCGCCUCCGCCUCGGCCGCUCGCGCCAGAUGUUCUGGAAUGUGCCCCUGUCCUACACGCAGAGGACAGCGCCCCCCGAAGCAAGCGUCUCCGCAUACGCCCGCCUUCACCUGUCCAGCUGCGCCACGCGGGCUGUCUGCCCUUCGAGGACGGAAGGCUCAGCAAACGGAGUGGUGUGUUGGGUUUUGCUGUUGUCAAUGGAACUACAAUUUGAAGAAAUUAUUUCAUGUUUCUUUGUACCAAAGAAAGUUGCGCAUACACAGAGAAUUCCUACUCCUUUUGAAGUCAGUAAGAUACAAGGCACAGGAUGGACGAGGACAUCAUCUCCCCACAGUUUUCAUGCCUCACCCAGGCUCAAACCUUUUGAAGAAUGCACAAGGAAGCCCUUUUGAAAUACUUCUGCUGAGGUCUUUCCCCAUAUUGAAAUUCACAUGUUCUGUCUCCUAGAUACAGGAGUGGAAGAACUAGGGCCCGAGAUGGAACUAACUGAACACAGCAGAGAAUUGAAGCAAACAGUGGCUAGAAGGAAACCACCACCACCAUCACCACCACCACCACCAAAGAUGCCCAGUAGGCCCAGUAGUAGGUAGGCACACAAAGUUUUCAGCAUAAAGCCAUCUCAAGGUCAAGAAAAGGUUAACUGGGUCCAGGGUGUAGUUUAGCAGUAGAGCAUGUGUGCGAGGCCCUGGGUUCAAUUCC
This is a long non-coding RNA of Fukomys damarensis (Damara mole-rat), 821 nucleotides long. RefSeq lists it as uncharacterized. The transcript is spliced from 4 exons. The record is from RefSeq and is a predicted model, not a curated record. Lineage: Eukaryota; Metazoa; Chordata; Mammalia; Rodentia; Bathyergidae.